GACGAACGCUGGCGGCAUGCCUAAUACAUGCAAGUCGAGCGGAAUGAUGAGAGCUUGCUCUCUGAUUUUAGUGGCGGACGGGUGAGUAACACGUGGGCAACCUGCCCUACAGAUGGGGAUAACUCCGGGAAACCGGGGCUAAUACCGAAUAAUCCAUUUCCCCUCAUGGGGAGAUGUUAAAAGACGGUUUCGGCUGUCACUACAGGAUGGGCCCGCGGCGCAUUAGCUAGUUGGUGAGGUAACGGCUCACCAAGGCGACGAUGCGUAGCCGACCUGAGAGGGUGAUCGGCCACACUGGGACUGAGACAUGGCCCAG
This 316-nucleotide ribosomal RNA is filed under the name uncultured bacterium. RNAcentral's name for it is "bacterial SSU rRNA". It matches the Rfam family "Bacterial small subunit ribosomal RNA", at positions 28 to 334 of the family's 1533-position model. The record is from RNAcentral.